UGAGCAUUCUUCGGGAGGCACUUGUGAAACUCAGCCCAGGUGCUGCCCAGGAUCAGGAGGCUGAGACGUGAUCUGGAAGUGAGUGCCCAUCCAUACACCUUCCCCAGCUUUGGGGCCACAGAGGGACAGAAACCGCAGGCAGGCUGGCCUGGGAAUGAACCUACACCAGCCUGAAGUCAGAAGAGCCUCUAGGAGCCUCCAGCCUGGACUCUUUUUACAGAUGGGGAAACUGAGUCCCAGAGAGGGAGCAAUGAAGGAUGUCUAAGGUCAUCAGCAACGUAAAGCCAACAGCAUCAUCCUGAGUCAUGUUUGAACCUGAGGGAAAGAAACAUAUGUUCGAAGAGGUUCUGAGGCUGCUGCACCCGAUAUCAUACCUGGUUGGCCCUGGGAAAGGGCCCACCUCCAAUACAUAAACACAACCAGCUUUGACAGGGACUCUGAUUACACUGGACCUAUCCAAGAUCUGAGAUCAUCAACUCAUCUCAAAAUCCUUAAGCUGACCACAGCAGCAUCGUCCCUUUUGCAGUGUAAGGGAGCCCAGCUGGGACAAUGUGUGAAUCAACGCAUGAAGGAGUGAGUGAGCAGCUAACCAAAUGAAAGAAUACUCAGAUAUCUGGGGUACAGUUCCCCUCCAGGUUUGCACAGCAUCUGCUGAAGUCUCCACUAGAAACUCAAUGGAAGGUCCCCACCGGAAACUGAAAGUCUCCUAGAGUGGCUUUGAGUUGCGGUUUCACCCUCCCUGCAGAUCCACAGGGGAGGCUGGGGCAGAUGGAAAAUACCAACUUGAUGGUCUGUGGCCACACCAUGCUGCUCCCCAAGGCCCCUCAGAAUUUCACUGCCCAAUAUGGUAGCGCCCAGCCUGAAACGUGGCCAGUGUGAAUUGAGAUGGGCUGGAAAUGCACCAGACUUCCAAGAGCUGGACAAAAACCAUAUACUUUCCAUCCAGCUGUUUGGCAUUGGAUACUGCUGCCUCUGCUUGACUUGAGAAUGUGUGAGAAAAGCUGUGUUUAGACAACUGAAAACCAUGAGCUUGAAAGUAGUGGGGGCACACUCUUGGAGACUCCAGUUGCUCACCAGCUUGGACAAACCACUGGACUCAAAUGAUCAGGUAGAAAUUCAUCACUGGAGAGAACACAGUGGAAUGGCUUCAGCGAAAACUCACUCUGAAGGUCUUCAGGGCAACUUUAAGACUUGCCCCUGGCCGGGCACAGUGGCUUAUGCCUAUAAUCCCAGCACUUUGGGAGGCCGAGGCGGGUGGAUCACCUGAGGUCAGGAGUUCAAGACCAGCCUGGCCAAUAUGGCGAAACCCUGUCUCUACUAAAAAUCCAAAAAAUUAGCCGGGCGUGGUCGUGGGCGCCUGUAAUCCCAGCAACUCGAGAGGCUGAGGCAGGAGAAUUGCCUGAACCCGGGAGGCAGAGUUUGAAGACAGCCGAGAUUGCACCACUGGGCAACAAGAGCAAAACUCCAUCUCAAAAAAAAAAAAAAAAAAAAAAAUACUUGCCCCGGCUUUUUGUGUGAUGGACUUUCUAUUUACAGACGUGAUAUUUAUCUAUGACUUUACUCAGAGUCUGGCUCAUAGACCAGAAGGACUGGUAUCUCCUGGAGCUUGCAGGAAAUGCAAAAUCUCAAACCCCUGUAUUAGUCAGGGUUCUCCAGAGAAGUAGAGCCAAUGGGAUAGAGACAGGGAUAGGGAUGAUAGAGAUGGAGAUAGAGGUAGAGAUCCAUUGAUUCCUCUGUUAAUAAAUUGGCUCAUGCAGUUGUGACAAUUUCGAAAUCUGCAAGGUAUGUCAGCAAGCUGGAGACCCAGGGAACAGUUGAUGUUGCACCUUGAGUACAAAGGCAGUGUGUCUGGAGCCAUAAUAUCUUCUUGUUAGGAAGACUUUGGUCUUUUCUCUUCUGGCCUUCAACUGCUUGGGUGAGGCCCGUCCCCACUACAGAAGACAAUAGUCUGUUCUACUCAGAGUCUACUGAUUUAAAUGCUCAUCUCAUCCCAAAAAAUACCCUCACAGCAACAUUUAGCCUGUGCAUUUGACCAAACAACUGGGUACCAUGCCCCCCCUCCCAAGUUGACACACAAAAUUGACCAUCAUACCCUCCCCACCCCCAGUCUUACUGAAUGAGAGAGAAUCUGUGCUUCAACAAGAUCCCCAGAAGAGGUAUAAGCGCAGGGAAGUCUGAGAAGCACCACCUUUGAGGCUUAUCCAGGAUGCCCACAUGAGCCUUCUCUGGAUAUGUCAGAUCCCCUUCCUGGCCCCCUAGACACCUCCUCCACUCCCCAAACUUGGAAGCAACAUUGUGGGGAAGCAGGCAGUGAGGCGCUCAGUCUACCACGUUGUGAGAUACACAGCUCCAUCUGUGUAUCAUGAUUUGAUCCAAGGGAAAACAAAAGAUCCAGAAACAUAAGUACUUUUUUGUGAGCUCUCAAAAACUUCCUGUGACAAGAUCAGGUCGUUGAUGCGAGAGCCACACUUGUUUCUUUUUCCUCUUUAUUCUCCACCUCUGACAUAAUACUUAGCAUAAAAAAAAAUCCAAUAAACACCACUGAAUCAAUUAUCUAAGCCUCAGUUUCCCUCUUGUAAUAUGUACUUACCUGGUUGUGGUAGGAAAGACACCAGGCAUGAGAAACACUUAAAAGCCCAGGACCCUGAGCUGGGCACAUGGUAGGUACUCAGGAAGUCAUUGCCGAGUGUUCAGUGCAUGCUUGUUGAAUGAGUAAAUGAGGUCAGGCUUCAGCAUGCAAACACUCGCUAUAAAGCAGGAACCCUGUGCCCUGAGUGCACAAAAUAGAUAUCGGUGAGUGCAUAUGGGGGCAGUGAGUGUAUGGAUUGGAUAUAGGUGGGUGUAUAUGGUGAGGAG
This 2856-nucleotide long non-coding RNA is filed under the name Homo sapiens (human). RNAcentral's name for it is "HSALNT0331170". Lineage: Eukaryota; Metazoa; Chordata; Mammalia; Primates; Hominidae. The record is from RNAcentral.